GACACGAUAGCUCAAUUGGUAGAGCAGCGGCCUAUUGAGCCGAAAGUCGUGGGUUCGAAUCCCGCUCGUGACA
Molecule: transfer RNA, 73 nt
Filed under: Cimex lectularius (bed bug)
Lineage: Eukaryota; Metazoa; Arthropoda; Insecta; Hemiptera; Cimicidae
Description: tRNA-Asn
Rfam family: tRNA
About the family: Transfer RNA (tRNA) molecules are approximately 80 nucleotides in length.
Source: Rfam by way of RNAcentral